This 253-nucleotide ribosomal RNA is filed under the name uncultured bacterium. RNAcentral describes it as "partial 16S ribosomal RNA". It matches the Rfam family "Bacterial small subunit ribosomal RNA", at positions 524 to 776 of the family's 1533-position model. The record is from RNAcentral.
UACGGAGGAUCCAAGCGUUAUCCGGAUUUAUUGGGUUUAAAGGGUGCGUAGGCGGAAUAGUAAGUCAGUGGUGAAAUCCUGCAGCUUAACUGUAGAAUUGCCAUUGAUACUGCUAAUCUUGAGUAUAUUUGAAGUGGGCGGAAUGUGUCGUGUAGCGGUGAAAUGCUUAGAUAUGACACAGAACACCAAUUGCGAAGGCAGCUCACUAAACUAUAACUGACGCUGAGGCACGAAAGCGUGGGGAUCAAACAGG